UAAUAAUACUUAUUAUUAUUAUUAUUAUUAUUACUAUAAUUAUUUUUAUUAUAUUAUUAUUUUAUUAUAGUCCUGUCAUACUUGUUAUUGUCCUGUCAUACUUGUUAUUGUUACCAAUAUUUACAGUAUACGGUUAUGCUCCCUGUUGCCAGCCCCCCAGUUCAGCGCAUGCAGGGUGGAGGGGCUCCAGCCGGCCUGCAAACACAAGGUGAAGCCUGAUAAGAAAACCGUUGGGUCCUAGGUCAGAUAUUUUCUCGGUCGUAAACUUAUAGCGACGUAUUUCUUCUCAGGGUUUGAUAUUAUUUAUGGACCCAGAUGGCAUGAUUCUGUUACUGCGUCUCCAAAUUCCAGUAGAAGAGAUGCUCAAGAACCCGCACAUAUAUAAUCGGGAUGAGUGUGUUGGUGCAGCCGUGUGAAAAAUAUCAUGCAUCGUCUUUUAUCGACAGGGGGCAUUCAAUAGAAAAAUCUGCAGGUCACAUUAAAUCUAUGCGCCGUGCAUGGGCUGCAUGGUGCGCAUACAGUCGUGGAUCAGGCCAUAUACGCAGCCCAGUGACCGGGAAAUAAAAAGCUGCUCCGCACAAGCAAAAAGCCACCGCAUCAUCAGAGACGAGCAUCUGGACGUUUCAGCACAGAAGGGUGGAGUAAAGAGCCAGAGCAGCUCCGGGCUGUUGUCGAGCGUCUCCUUUGCGCAGAUGCACAGAUUCCCCCAGCUCUGUGAAAACGGACCGAGCUGCAGCAUCAACACAAGAGAAGAAAAGGAGACUAUCAGCUGGUAGUGUGAAGAAUCUCAUCUUUAAAAACCUCACUAGACUGUUACAGCAUCCGGCAUUAUUACAUUGACACAUACUGUAGAUGUAGAACAAACAACGUUGGCAUGCUGAUAGUGUAUAGCCAGGAAAUAAGUACUUCUAUUGCCAUGUAAGGUCCGACAUCUAUAAGCUGCUGCUGUUAUAUGUGUAGUUUACCACCACUUAAAUUGUACAUGAUAGUCUAUUAAGGUGCUUAAAUGCAUGUCUCCAAAAAACAGUUCAAUUGGACUCACAAAAUGCAUAUGUAGGCAGUAUAUGUAGGUAGGAAGUAACGAACAUUAAAAAAAAAAGACUAUCUUCAAAAAGAAUCACCUCAGUAUAUGAAAUUACUAUUUUGACAUCUAGUAAUAAGGACAUGGUGGUACAUGCAUCCACGGGGCAUUGAUUGUUCUGUUGGAGACAUUUUGGCUCAGUAAUGCUGCUGCAUCAAAAACAACAGUGAAGAUGAUGUAAUACACGGCUACUAAACGCUAUAAAAUGCCAUAAAAUGUGAUUUCAGUAUUUUGAACCUCUCGUCUGUAACGGUGAGAUCAACCAUGAAGUCAAGUGCGAAUGAGAGUUUUGUGCUGAUGUAUCUAGACUGGGGUUUAGUCUCUGCUAUUAGUCAGUGUGACAUGAUGAGUACAUUUUUAAAGUUUGCAAUAUGUUAAAGAUCAAGUGUCAGGCUGUCUUGUUCCUCCGGUAAACAUGGAGGUCAGUGUGUUUACACUCAGGAAAUAUAGGUACGAAUCCACUACUGUCACAAAUAAACCUCUGUAUCCGAA
Hippoglossus stenolepis (Pacific halibut) is the source of this 1573-nucleotide long non-coding RNA. RefSeq lists it as uncharacterized. The record is from RefSeq and is a predicted model, not a curated record. NCBI's taxonomy places the organism in Eukaryota, Metazoa, Chordata, Actinopteri, Pleuronectiformes, Pleuronectidae. The transcript is spliced from 2 exons.